RNAcentral lists this ribosomal RNA (408 nucleotides) under uncultured bacterium. RNAcentral's name for it is "partial 16S ribosomal RNA". It matches the Rfam family "Bacterial small subunit ribosomal RNA", at positions 28 to 526 of the family's 1533-position model. The record is from RNAcentral.
GAUGAACGCUGGCGGCGUGCCUAAUACAUGCAAGUCGAGCGAAGCGGCGGACGGGUGAGUAACGCGUAGGUAACCUGCCCCUGACAGAGGGAUAGCCAUUGGAAACGAUGAUUAAAACCUCAUGGUCAGGGAUGGGCCUGCGUCUGAUUAACUAGUUGUUGAGGUAACGGCUCACCACUGCGACGAACAGUAGCCGACCUUAGAGGGUGAUCGGCCACAGUGGGACGGAGACACGUGGCAAACUUCUACGGAAGGCAGCAGUAGAGAAACUUGCGCAAUGGGCGAAAGCCUGAUGCAGAAACGCCGGGGGAAGGAUGAAGGCCUUCAGGUUGAAAACUUCUGUUCUAAGGGGAGCGGUACCUUAGGAACAAGCCCCGGCUGACGACGUGCCAGCAACCGCGGUAAUAC